GAUGAACGCUGGCGGCGUGCUUAACACAUGCAAGUCGAACGAUUGAAGCUGGAGCUUGCUCUGGCCGAUUUAGUGGCGGACGGGUGAGUAACGCGUGGGUAACCUGCCUCAUACAGGGGGAUAGCAGUUGGAAACGACUGGUAAAACCGCAUAAGCGCACGGUAUCGCAUGAUACAGUGUGAAAACACUCCGGUGGUAUGAGAUGGACCCGCGUCUGAUUAGCUAGUUGGUGAGGUAACGGCCCACCAAGGCGACGAUCAGUAGCCGGCCUGAGAGGGUGAACGGCCACAUUGGGACUGAGACACGGCCCAAACUCCUACGGGAGGCAGCAGUGGGGAAUAUUGCACAAUGGGGGAAACCCUGAUGCAGCGACGCCGCGUGAGUGAAGAAGUAUUUCGGUAUGUAAAGCUCUAUCAGCAGGGAAGAUAAUGACGG
This 435-nucleotide ribosomal RNA is filed under the name uncultured bacterium. RNAcentral describes it as "bacterial SSU rRNA". It matches the Rfam family "Bacterial small subunit ribosomal RNA", at positions 28 to 457 of the family's 1533-position model. The record is from RNAcentral.